GACGAACGCUGGCGGCGUGCUUAACACAUGCAAGUCGAACGGAAAGGCCCUGCUUUUGUGGGGUGCUCGAGUGGCGAACGGGUGAGUAACACGUGAGUAACCUGCCCUUGACUUUGGGAUAACUUCAGGAAACUGGGGCUAAUACCGGAUAGGAGCUCCUGCUGCCUGGGGGGGGUUGGAAAGUUUCGGCGGUUGGGGAUGGACUCGCGGCUUAUCAGCCGGUUGGUGGGGUAGUGGCUUACCAAGGCUUUGACGGGUAGCCGGCCUGAGAGGGUGACCGGCCACCUUGGGACUGAGGUACGGCCCAGCAUCCUACGGGAGGCAGCAGUGGGGAAUAUUGCACAACGGGCGGAAGCCUGAUGCAGCAGCGCCGCGUGCGGGAUGACGGCCUUCGGGUUGUAGACCGCUUUCGCCUGUGACGAAGCGGGAGUGACGGUAAUUGGUAAAUAAGCACCGGCUAACUACGUG
Molecule: ribosomal RNA, 468 nt
Filed under: uncultured bacterium
Lineage: Bacteria
Description: partial 16S ribosomal RNA
Rfam family: Bacterial small subunit ribosomal RNA
Source: RNAcentral